This 466-nucleotide ribosomal RNA is filed under the name uncultured bacterium. RNAcentral's name for it is "partial 16S ribosomal RNA". It matches the Rfam family "Bacterial small subunit ribosomal RNA", at positions 28 to 507 of the family's 1533-position model. The record is from RNAcentral.
GAUGAACGCUGGCGGCGUGCUUAACACAUGCAAGUCGAACGGAAAGGCGCCUGCUUUCAGGGGUACUCGAGUGGCGAACGGGUGAGUAUCACGUGGGUGAACUGCCCUUCACUUCGGGAUAAGCCUGGGAAACAGGGGCUAAUACCGGAGAGGACGUUGGGUUGGAUGCCAUUGUGGAAAGAUUUGCCGGUGUGGGGUGAGCUCGCGGUCUAUCAGCUUGUCGGUGGGGUAUUGGCAUACCAAGGCGUCGACGGGUAGCCGGCCCGUGAGGGGGGACGGCCACCAUGGGCCUGAGAGACGCCCCAGACUCGUACGGGACGCAGCAGUCGGGAGUCUUGCGCAAUGGGCGCAAGCCUGAUGCGGCGGCGCCGCGUGCGGGAUGCCCGCCUUCUGGUUGUAAACUCCUUUCUCUGGGGACGAAGCGCUAGUGACGGUACCUGGAGAAGAAGCACCGGCUAACUACGUG